This 497-nucleotide ribosomal RNA is filed under the name uncultured bacterium. RNAcentral's name for it is "partial 16S ribosomal RNA". It matches the Rfam family "Bacterial small subunit ribosomal RNA", at positions 28 to 507 of the family's 1533-position model. The record is from RNAcentral.
GAUGAACGCUGGCGGCGUGCCUAAUACAUGCAAGUCGAGCGAACGGACGAGAAGCUUGCUUCUCUGAUGUUAGCGGCGGACGGGUGAGUAACACGUGGAUAACCUACCUAUAAGACUGGGAUAACUUCGGGAAACCGGAGCUAAUACCGGAUAAUAUUUUGAACCGCAUGGUUCAAAAGUGAAAGACGGUCUUGCUGUCACUUAUAGAUGGAUCCGCGCUGCAUUAGCUAGUUGGUAAGGUAACGGCUUACCAAGGCAACGAUGCAUAGCCGACCUGAGAGGGUGAUCGGCCACACUUGAACUGAGACACGGUCCAGACUCCUACGGGAGGCAGCAGUAGGGAAUCUUCCGCAAUGGGCGAAAGCCUGGCGGAGCAACGCCGCGUGAGUGAUGAAGGUCUUCGGAUCGUAAAACUCUGUUAUUAGGGAAGAACAUAUGUGUAAGUAACUGUGCACAUCUUGACGGUACCUAAUCAGAAAGCCACGGCUAACUACGUG